UACAGAGGGCUCAAGCGUUGUUCGGAUUCAUUGGGCGUAAAGGGUGCGCAGGCGGCCGUGUGUGUGAGGCGUGAAAGCCCGGAGCUCAACUCCGGAAUUGCACCUCAAACUACACGGCUAGAGCAUUGGAGAGGGAAGCGGAAUUCACGGUGUAGCAGUGAAAUGCGUAGAUAUCGUGAGGAACACCAGAGGCGAAGGCGGCUUCCUGGACAAUUGCUGACGCUCAGGCACGAAAGCGUGGGGAGCAAAAGGG
This 253-nucleotide ribosomal RNA is filed under the name uncultured bacterium. Its description in RNAcentral is "partial 16S ribosomal RNA". It matches the Rfam family "Bacterial small subunit ribosomal RNA", at positions 524 to 776 of the family's 1533-position model. The record is from RNAcentral.